RNAcentral lists this unclassified non-coding RNA (312 nucleotides) under Sistotrema sp. RNAcentral's name for it is "partial contains 5.8S ribosomal RNA, internal transcribed spacer 2, and large subunit ribosomal RNA". The record is from RNAcentral. Lineage: Eukaryota; Fungi; Basidiomycota; Agaricomycetes; Cantharellales; Hydnaceae.
CGCAUCUUGCGCUCCUUGGUAUUCCGAGGAGCACGCCUGUUCGAGUGUCGUGAAUACCUCAAUCUACAAUCUUUUUUUGUGGACUGGAUUUGGACUUUUGCCGUUGUCAAAACGGCUGGUCUUAAACGUAUUAGCUGACCCACGCUUUGCGUGCUUGGUUCUUACUCGGCGUGAUAAUUAUCUGACCGCCGAGGACAUUUGCCUCUGGUGAAUGGCCAAGUGUGCCUUGGAUCGCUUCCAACCCCCCUUCAUUGGGAACACACACUUUUCAAAUUUGACCUCGAAUCAGGCGGGACUACCCGCUGAACUUAA